Limanda limanda (common dab) is the source of this 418-nucleotide long non-coding RNA. RefSeq lists it as uncharacterized. NCBI's taxonomy places the organism in Eukaryota, Metazoa, Chordata, Actinopteri, Pleuronectiformes, Pleuronectidae. The record is from RefSeq and is a predicted model, not a curated record. The transcript is spliced from 3 exons.
AUCACAGAGGAUUAGGGGCUGAUGGACACGACCCACAUACUGAGACGCUUCCCUGCAGAGAAAACACGAGGCAGCCGCCCCAGCAACAGUGGAUCAGCUGCCAACAACAUUAAAGCUCAAUCAGCUUCCUGUCAACUCUAUGUGUAUUAUGUCACCAAGAGGCGGUGGACUAGUGGCAGAAACUUGGACUAUGGGCAGAAAAGGUCUCUGGUUCGUCUCUGGUUCGACUCCACGGAGAAACAACAAAAAGACGAACCUGGAUUGAUCUGUCCAACAAAUCCAAGAGGAUUCUCCCUACCCUGUCUAGUGCCCCUGAGCAAGGCACCUUACUCCCCCAACAUCUGCUCCCCGGGCGCCGUACAUGGCUGCUCACUGCUCUGUGUGUCCUGCACCAGAUGGGUUAAAAGCAGAGGUUACA